GAGUUUGAUCUUGGCUCAGGACGAACGCUGGCGGCGCGCCUAACACAUGCAAGUCGAACGGAAUUAUUCCGGUUGAAGUUUUCGGAUGGAUACUGGUUUAGUUUAGUGGCGAACGGGUGAGUAACGCGUGAGUAACCUGCCCUGGAGUGGGGGACGAACAGUUGGAACGACUGCUAAUACCGCAUAAGCCCACCGGUGCCGCAUGGCACAGCGGGAAAAGGAAUUUAUUCGCUUCAGGAUGGACUCGCGUCCAAUUAGCUAGUUGGUGAGGUAACGGCCCACCAAGGCGACGAUUGGUAGCCGGACUGAGAGGUUGAACGGCCACAUUGGGAC
RNAcentral lists this ribosomal RNA (333 nucleotides) under uncultured bacterium. RNAcentral describes it as "bacterial SSU rRNA". It matches the Rfam family "Bacterial small subunit ribosomal RNA", at positions 9 to 319 of the family's 1533-position model. The record is from RNAcentral.